This 105-nucleotide non-coding RNA is filed under the name Thioclava sp. RNAcentral describes it as "TPP sequence". It matches the Rfam family "TPP riboswitch aptamer (THI element)". Rfam says of the family: Vitamin B(1) in its active form thiamin pyrophosphate (TPP) is an essential coenzyme that is synthesised by coupling of pyrimidine and thiazole moieties in bacteria. The previously detected thiamin-regulatory element, thi box was extended, resulting in a new, highly conserved RNA secondary structure, the THI element, which is widely distributed in eubacteria and also occurs in some archaea. Lineage: Bacteria; Pseudomonadati; Pseudomonadota; Alphaproteobacteria; Rhodobacterales; Paracoccaceae. The record is from RNAcentral.
GCCCCAACCUCGGGGUGCCGGAUGAUCCGGCUGAGAUGCGAUCCACGCGAACCCGUUGAACCUGAACCGGUUAAGACCGGCGGAGGGAAGGUAGCCGGAUAGUCC